This 159-nucleotide small nuclear RNA is filed under the name Megaselia scalaris. RNAcentral describes it as "U12 minor spliceosomal RNA". It matches the Rfam family "U12 minor spliceosomal RNA", at positions 1 to 120 of the family's 151-position model. Rfam says of the family: Although the U12 sequence is very divergent from that of U2, the two are functionally analogous. The record is from Rfam by way of RNAcentral. Lineage: Eukaryota; Metazoa; Arthropoda; Insecta; Diptera; Phoridae.
GUGCCUUAAACUAAUGAGUAAGGAAAAUUACAAGCCUUGUUGAUGCUUGGCUUAACCUUUUUGCCGAGCAGAGCAUUUUUCUAUGUGAUAAAUGCUCCUCAUUCGAAAAGUAUAAAUUUUUGUAAAGGCAAAGGUCGUCCCUUUGAGCUCGAUUUACUA